GUGAAAUCUAUGGGCUUAACCCAUAGCCGUGCAUUUGAAGCUGUGUGUCUUGAGUGAUGGAGAGGUAAGUGGAAUUCCUAGUGUAGCCGGUGGAAUGCGUAGAUAUUAGGAGGAACACCCAGUGGCGAAGGCGACUUACUGGACAUUAACUGACGCUGAGGCGCGAAAGCGUGGGGAGCAAACAGGAUUAGAUACCUGGUAGUCCACGCUGUAAACGAUGAAUACUAGGUGUGGGGGGACUGACCCCUUUCCGUGCCGCAGUUAACACAAUAAGUAUUCCACCUGGGGAGUACGAUCGCAAGGUUGAAACUCAAAGGAAUUGACGGGGGCCCGCACAAGCAGUGGAUUAUGUGGUUUAAUUCGAAGCAACGCGAAGAACCUUACCAGGGCUUGACAUCCAACUAACGAAGCAGAGAUGCAUUAGGUGCCCUUCGGGGAAAGUUGAGACAGGUGGUGCAUGGUUGUCGUCAGCUCGUGUCGUGAGAUGUCGGGUUAAGUCCCAUAACGAGCGCAACCCCUAUUGAUAGUUGCCAGCGGGUAAUGCCGGGAACUCUAUCGAAACUGCCGGUGUAAACCGUGAGGAAGGUGGGGAUGACGUCAAAUCAGCACGGCCCUUAUGUCCAGGGCUACACACGUGUUACAAUGGCCGGUACAAAGGGCAGCUAUGCCGCGAGGCAAUGCUAAUCUCGAAAACCGAUCUCAGUUCGGAUCGAAGUCUGCAACUCGACUUCGUGAAGUUGGAUUCGCUAGUAAUCGGAUAUCAGCAAUGAUCCGGUGAAUACGUUCCCGGGCCUUGUACACACCGCCCGUCAAGCCAUGGAAGUCGGGAGUACCUGAAGUCGAUGACCGCAAGGAAUUGC
This 860-nucleotide ribosomal RNA is filed under the name uncultured bacterium. Its description in RNAcentral is "bacterial SSU rRNA". It matches the Rfam family "Bacterial small subunit ribosomal RNA", at positions 594 to 1456 of the family's 1533-position model. The record is from RNAcentral.